GGCACGUGCUUGACCCUUGCCUGAGGUGCGGAGACACUCCCCCGCCCCACCGCCCAGAACCGCGGCUCUGAGCGUGGACAGACACCGCCUGAUGGGGCUGUGACAGUGCUGUCCCCUUGCUUUUCUCCACGAAGUGUCUCCUCAGCUCACUUAGGAUGUACUCUCCACACUCCACCUGAAGGUUGGCAUUCUUUUUUAUUUUUAUUUUUUGCUAUUUUAGGGCCAUACUUGUGGCAUAUGGAGGUCCCAGGCCAGGGACUGGCACUGCAUCUUUGACCUACACCACAGCUAACGGCAACGCUGGGUCCUUAACCCACUGAGUGAGGCCAGGGAUUGAACCCUCAUCCUCAUGGAUCCUAGUCAGGUUUGUUAACCACUGAGCCAUGAUGGGAACUCACCAGGUUGACAUUAUUAACAUGUAGAGUAAUUCAGCUGAAUUUUGCUGGGAUUUACCUUAAAUUGCUCAUGUAGCUAUACUUUUAUUUAUAAUAACAAUAAUAAUCUUUGAUAACCUGGUGCAUGAAACAGUUUUUAAGAUGAAAAAAGCAGUCCUGCCUUAAGAUGGGCAAAGUUCUAUACAGUUGGAUCCAUGCAUGAGGCAGAAAGACCCAGGAUGGUGUGGGUGCCAGACCCCCAUGUGACUAAGAUCUAUGGCAAUGUCUUCAAAAACUCCUUUCGCCUUUGGAAAUACAUAUUCUGUAGCACAGUGCAUACUAUUUUACUAUAAGUAAAAUCAAAACAAUGUCAAGUGUUGCCAGAAUAUAGGCAGCACUUUGUGAAUUUAGAAUAUUCCUUAUUUCAUGAUGCAUUAGCAUGCUUGGGAAAAUUUCAUUGGUUUAUUUAAAGAUGACGUACAUCUCUUGAUCCCUCUUGGGUGCCUUCAAAAGACACCAGCCAUUUGGAGAGGGUGGAACUCCUGUGCCCUCGUGUCCAUCCAGCCAGCCCCUGCCUUGAGUGGUCCCACACAACGUUACUCUGAGGACAGAGGGGAGGGACCAGGUGGCAGCUUAUUUGGAACAGAACCCACCAGGGGCUCAGGCUGGGUUUUGUUCAGCCCUGAGACAAGGUGGAGCUGGAGGACCCAGGACCUGUCCUUUAAACCAGGGAGCUUUGACAUGGGACCUGCCAGGUUUGUCUCCAUCCCCCGAGCCCACUUUAUGCUCCUGUGCUGCCAGCAUAUGAGCCAGGCCACCUGCCUGGGCAGCCAGGAGAGCAGCAGCCAGGCCAGAGCUGUGCUGUUCGGUCCCCUCGUUUGUCUCAGGGUUUAUGACACAUUGAAUGUCAUCUCACGUUGUCUCCGUCCCUUUCCGACGUGCCUCAGCCUAAACUCAGGUUGACUCCCAAGCCAUCAUCACAUUUGAACAUCUCUGAGUCAACUAUCUACGCCGAUCGUGGGUGACAUACAUGACAGUAGUGUCUCACUGACCUUGGUUGCACCUCCCUUGACCUUCAGAUUUGUCACAGUUGGGUCUAUUUAUCUUUUUGGAGGUGGGGGGUGGGGAUCACCACACAUGUUUUGGUUUGUUAUUAGUGUCUUCCAAAGAUCACCACAGUCUUUGGGAAUUCAACAACCUAAAGCGAUUGGUGGGUCAGGUAUCCUUCUGGGGCCAAGUCUGGCAGCUUCACUGCCGAGGAUAAAAAACACUUCCAGGGGUGUAACCCCCAGCAUUUUAAGGGAAUAUAAAGAAACAUGAAACUUUAUAGCCAUAGGAAUUUCUUUUUUGCCCAGGCUCUUUUGGUCAUUUCUCAGAUUUUAGAAAUUAUUUUUUAGGUAUUCACAGUUUUUCUAUGAAGUAAUGUAACCUGACCUGCUUCUCACCUUCCUCACACUUAAGUGCUUCUCAAAAAUAGCAGAUCUGCCCUUAAAAUGAGAAAGUUUAUGACCGUGACUUCAGCUGGUUGGGUUUUCUCCCACGGUUUCAGCAGUUGGACAGACUGCUUUUCUGGACCCCAGGUAUGUGGUGAGAUGUGCAGGAGGCGGGGGGCAGGGUUAUGAGUAGGAGUCAGGUACCGUGAAGGACAUCACAGCUUCUGACUGUUGACGCUUGUGGUCAGAGGUAGGAUUCGGGCUUCCUUACACUGCAAGUCCAGCCCAGAUUCUAAGGAAAUGGGAGCAGCCAUCAGUGAUCCAAAGAAUGAAAAAUGCGAAUAUUAAGCAAAUGCGAAUAUUAAGCAAAUGCGAAACACAUAGCGUCAUUGUCCCUGGAGCUGUUGGUGGUGUUGGAUCGCUGGGGGAGCCUGGCCAUCAUCCUUAUUACCUGCCUGGGGUUGACACCUCUGCCAGGCUGGGCACAGGAGACUGGGCUGUCUCUCUGGUCCAGGUGCCUCUCACACAGCAGUGGUUUCUUGGCAUCUGGGCAUAAAUGAAUGUAAUAAGAGGAGUUCCUGGAAUUCCCAUUGUGGCUCAGUGAAAACAAAUCUGACUGGUAUCCAUGAGGAUCCAGGUUUGAUCCCUGGCCUCACUCAGUUAAGGAUCUGGUAUUGCCCUGAGCUGUGGUGUAGGUUGCAGAUGUAGCUUGGAUCUGGUGUUGCUGUGGCUGAGGCGUAGGCCAAUGGCUACAGCUCCAAUUUGGCCCCCUAGCCUGGGAACCUCCAUAUAC
This 2600-nucleotide long non-coding RNA is filed under the name Sus scrofa (pig). RNAcentral describes it as "lncRNA (ENSSSCG00025027087.1)". The record is from RNAcentral. Lineage: Eukaryota; Metazoa; Chordata; Mammalia; Artiodactyla; Suidae.